RNAcentral lists this long non-coding RNA (295 nucleotides) under Phascolarctos cinereus (koala). RNAcentral describes it as "lncRNA (ENSPCIG00000015883.2)". The record is from RNAcentral. Lineage: Eukaryota; Metazoa; Chordata; Mammalia; Diprotodontia; Phascolarctidae.
GAUCAGCGCGGUCCCCAGCUUUGCUCUCUCUCCGCCAUCCUCCCAGCAUUUGCAGGCGGCUGCGCAGGAGAUAGAUGGUGGCUGCAGGCCAAAGAGGAGACACACACGGAAUCAUCCUGUCAGAACCGUCUGCCUGACAGAAGGGGCCACUCCAGAGGGUGAAGCUGAAGGACUGAUAUCUGAUGGCCAAUGGGCCUGCUGUGCCAUCUUUCUGAAUGAAGGAUUUAAGAACAUAGAUGGGUAUGUAGAACACACUGCUCAAUGCACUCAAUAAUGAUAUAAAUGGAUGAUAUUU